UUAGCAUAUCAAUAAGCGGAGGAAAAGAAACCAACAGGGAUUGCCCCAGUAACGGCGAGUGAAGCGGCAACAGCUCAAAUUUGAAAUCUGGCUUCGGCCCGAGUUGUAAUUUGCAGAGGAUGCUUUUGGUGCGGUGCCUUCCGAGUUCCCUGGAACGGGACGCCACAGAGGGUGAGAGCCCCGUAUGGUCGGACACCAAUCCUGUGUAAAGCUCCUUCGACGAGUCGAGUAGUUUGGGAAUGCUGCUCUAAAUGGGAGGUAAAUCUCUUCUAAAGCUAAAUACCGGCCAGAGACCGAUAGCGCACAAGUAGAGUGAUCGAAAGAUGAAAAGCACCUUGAAAAGGGGGUUAAACAGUACGUGAAAUUGUUGAAAGGGAAGCACUUGUGACCAGACUUGGGCCGGGCGGCUCAUCAGGGGUUCUCCCCUGUGCAUUCCGCCCGGUACAGGCCAGCAUCGGUUCUUACCGGGGGAUAAGAACGGCAGGAACGUGGCUCCCUCUCGGGGGAGUGUUAUAGCCUGCCGUACGAUACCCUGGCGGGGACCGAGGUUCGCGCUUCCGCAAGGAUGCUGGCGUAAUGGUUACUAGUGACCCGUCUUGAAACACGGACCAAGGAGUCGUCCAUUAGAGCGAGCGUUUGGGUGUAAAACCCGCACGCGUAAUGAAAGUGAAAUUAGGUGAGAGCUUCGGCGCAUCAUCGACCGAUCCUGAUGUUCUCGGAUGGAUUUGAGUAAGAGUUUUAACGGACGGACCCGAAAGACAGUGAACUAUGCUUGUAUAGGGUGAAGCCAGAGGAAACUCUGGUGGAGGCUCGCAGCGGUUCUGACGUGCAAAUCGAUCGUCAAAUAUGAGCAUGGGGGCGAAAGACUAAUCGAACUGUCUAGUAGCUGGUUACCGCCGAA
This 901-nucleotide ribosomal RNA is filed under the name Tubakia dryinoides. RNAcentral's name for it is "eukaryotic LSU rRNA". It matches the Rfam family "Eukaryotic large subunit ribosomal RNA", at positions 35 to 965 of the family's 3401-position model. Lineage: Eukaryota; Fungi; Ascomycota; Sordariomycetes; Diaporthales; Tubakiaceae. The record is from RNAcentral.